AACGCACCUUGCGCUCCUUGGUAUUCCGAGGAGCAUGCCUGUUUGAGUGUCAUUAAAUUCUCAACCCAUCCAACUUGUAAUAAAGUCGGUAUGUGGCUUGGAUAUGGGGGUUUUGCAGGCCUUUGUUGGUCAGCUCCUCUAAAAUGUAUUAGCGGAACGGUUUGCGAUCUGUCACUGGUGUGAUAAUUAUCUACGCCUAAGACUAUAGAAAGCUCUCUGUCUGUUCAGCUUCUAACAGUCCCUUGUGGACAACUUUAUUGAAAGUUUGACCUCAAAUCAGGUAGGAUUACCCGCUGAACUUAA
Molecule: unclassified non-coding RNA, 303 nt
Filed under: uncultured Melanophyllum
Lineage: Eukaryota; Fungi; Basidiomycota; Agaricomycetes; Agaricales; Agaricaceae
Description: sequence contains ITS2
Rfam family: 5.8S ribosomal RNA (bases 1-52)
Source: RNAcentral